AGAGUUUGAUCCUGGCUCAGAGCGAACGUUGGCGGCGUGCUUAAUACAUGCAAGUCGAGCGAGAAACACCGGCUUCGGUUGGUGGAGUAAAGCGGCGCACGGGUGAGUAAUGCGUAGACAACCUGCCUAAGGAAUGGGGACAACCCCCGGAAACGGAGGCUAAUUCCCAAUGGUGUCUUUGGACCGCAUGGUCCGAUGACUAAAGGGUUCACGAAAGUGUACCGUCCUUUGAGGGAUCUACGUCCUAUCAGGUAGUUGGUGAGGUAAUGGCUCACCAAGCCUAAGACGGGUAGCCGGACUGAGAGGUUGAUCGGCCACACUGGAACUGAGACACGGUCCAGACACCUACGGGUGGCAGCAGUAGGGAAUAUUGCACAAUGGGCGGAAGCCUGAUGCAGCGACGCCGCGUGAGGGAUUGAAGGCCUUCGGGUUGUAAACCUCUGUUUCUUGGGGAAGAACACUGACGGUACCCAGGGAGUAAGCACUGGCUAACCCCGUGCCAGCAGCUGCGGUAAUACGGGGAGUGCAAACGUUGCUCGGAUUUACUGGGCGUAGAGCGCAUGUAGGCGGAUUGGUAAAUGGGUUGUGAAAUGCUCCGGCCUACCCGGAGAACGGCAGUCCAAAAUGCCAGUCUGGAGGGUGUCAGAGG
RNAcentral lists this ribosomal RNA (649 nucleotides) under uncultured bacterium. RNAcentral's name for it is "bacterial SSU rRNA". It matches the Rfam family "Bacterial small subunit ribosomal RNA", at positions 8 to 657 of the family's 1533-position model. The record is from RNAcentral.